GGCGACGUAGCCAAGAGGCUAAGGCACAGGACUGCAACUCCUUGAUCCCCGGUUCAAAUCCGGGCGUCGCCUCCA
RNAcentral lists this transfer RNA (75 nucleotides) under Clostridia bacterium. RNAcentral describes it as "tRNA-Cys". It matches the Rfam family "tRNA". From Rfam's summary of the family: Transfer RNA (tRNA) molecules are approximately 80 nucleotides in length. Their secondary structure includes four short double-helical elements and three loops (D, anti-codon, and T loops). Lineage: Bacteria; Bacillati; Bacillota; Clostridia. The record is from RNAcentral. RNAcentral also lists the same sequence under 1 other name.